AACGAACGCUGGCGGCGUGUUUAAGACAUGCAAGUCGAACGGGGUGAAGUUGUAGCAAUACCGCUUCAUCCAGUGGCGCACGGGUGCGUAACACGUGAGUUACAUGCCCUGCAGUGGGGAAUAGCCCGCCGAAAGGCGGAUUAAUACCCCAUGGUUCCCGCGAGGGUAAAGGUGGCCGCAAGGCUGCCGCUGCAGGAUUGGCUCGCGGCCUAUCAGCUUGUUGGCGGGGUAACGGCCCACCAAGGCGACGACGGGUACCUGGUCUGAGAGGAUGAUCAGGCACACUGGAACUGAGACACGGUCCAGACACCUACGGGUGGCAGCAGUCGAGAAUAAUUCACAAUGGGCGAAAGCCUGAUGGUGCAACGCCGCGUGGAGGAUGAAGGUCUUCGGAUUGUAAACUCCUGUCAUCGGGGAGUAAGACCUGGGCGUGAAUAGCGCACAGGGUUGAUAGUACCCGAAGAGGAAGGGACGGCUAACUUCGUGCCAGCCGCCGCCGUAA
This 502-nucleotide ribosomal RNA is filed under the name uncultured bacterium. RNAcentral describes it as "partial 16S ribosomal RNA". It matches the Rfam family "Bacterial small subunit ribosomal RNA", at positions 29 to 523 of the family's 1533-position model. The record is from RNAcentral.